ACCUGGCGGCGUGCCUAUACAUGCAAGUCGAGCGGACAGAUGGGAGCUUGCUCCCUGAUGUUAGCGGCGGACGGGUGAGUAACACGUGGGUAACCUGCCUGUAAGACUGGGAUAACUCCGGGAACCGGGGCUAAUACCGGAUGCUUGAUUGAACCGCAUGGUUCAAUUAUAAAAGGUGGCUUUUACCUACCACUUACAAAUGGACCCGCGGCGCAUUACCUAUUUGGUGAGGUAACGGCUCACCAAGGCAACAAUCCUUACCCAACCUGAAAGGGUGAUCGGCCACACUGGAACUGAAACACGGCCCAAACUCCUACGGGAGGCACCAUUAGGGAAUCUUCCCCAUUGGACAAAAUUCUGACGAACCACCCCCCCGGGAUUGAUGAAGGUUUUCGAAUCGUAAAACUCUUUUGUUAGGGAAAAACAAUUACCGUUCGAAUAGGGCGGUACCUUGCCGGUCCCUAACCAAAAAGCCACGGCUAACUACUUGCCACCACCCCC
Molecule: ribosomal RNA, 501 nt
Filed under: Bacillus sp. AG07-12
Lineage: Bacteria; Bacillati; Bacillota; Bacilli; Caryophanales; Bacillaceae
Description: bacterial SSU rRNA
Rfam family: Bacterial small subunit ribosomal RNA
Source: RNAcentral